RNAcentral lists this ribosomal RNA (259 nucleotides) under Clostridioides difficile. RNAcentral's name for it is "partial 23S ribosomal RNA". It matches the Rfam family "Bacterial large subunit ribosomal RNA", at positions 1023 to 1288 of the family's 2925-position model. The record is from RNAcentral. Lineage: Bacteria; Bacillati; Bacillota; Clostridia; Peptostreptococcales; Peptostreptococcaceae.
CAGCCCAGAUCGUCAGCUAAGGUCCCUAAAUGUAAGUUAAGUGGUAAAGGAUGUGGGAUUGCACAGACAACCAGGAUGUUGGCUUAGAAGCAGCCACUCAUUCAAAGAGUGCGUAAUAGCUCACUGGUCGAGUGAUCCUGCGCCGAAGAUUUCCGGGGCUAAACCUUACUACCGAAGCUACGGCAUCAGUAAUGAUGGGUAGGGGAGCUUCCCAUACGGGUUGAAGCAUGACCGUAAGGACAUGUGGACAGUAUGGGAG